CUUGGCAGCCAGGGGUCGUGCAUCGUGGGCCCCUUUAAAUGGUGACGUAUUAAUGCAGGAUCGCGAAUCCAUCGUCCUGCUGUGGAAUAGCGGAACAACUAUCAGGCAAUGGACCUACUUUCAUAAAAGUUAUCUAACAUAGCCCUGUUUUUUAUAAUUUCUCUAAAUUCUGCAAGAGGAGGUUUAUGUUACCCACAUUUGUCAGCAAUUCAACUGGACCAUUUCACAACCUCUCAACUAGCUUCAGCCAUGAGGACCCUUGUCGUCGGAAUUGGAGGAUGUAAAAGCCCUAUACGGAUUGACCAUGCUUCCAGCAGGAUGCACAGCCAACAACUAUUGUUUGCAUGCCCUGCCGAAGGACCCUAUCAUCAUGCGGAAUAUGUGGUUGGAGUUCGUUGGUCCCAAGUGAUGACAAAGUGCACAGUUGGGUGCCAGACUGAUCCCCUGGUCAUUAAUGGAUGCUGGGACCUACCAGAAGGAACAAAGCUUGUCAGCAAGAUCUUGGAAUAAAAGUGUGUCAUGCGACACAAGUAGGCUGAAUCACAUCUGGCUAUGAUUGGUAGUCCCAUAGGGCGGCGAACAAUUGGCCCAGUGUCGUCUGGGUUUGGCCGUCAUUGUAAAUAAGAAUUUGUUCUAUACUGACUUGCCUAGUUAAAGUUUUUUUUUUUUUUUUUUUAAGUACUCUUGUGAACUUUCCUCGGUUGUCAGUCCAUCUCGACUCCUAUGAAAAGGACAGGAGGCCUCUGAUAGUGACCUGAGUUACUGCUCUGAUGAUACUGACGGCUUCAUCAACAACGACAAAUAAUGUGAAUUAUGUGAAAAGUUGUAUUCAAGUAUACCCAUCUUGAUAAACAGUAGGCUAAUUCCCCAGCCAAGCAGAUACAACUAGUAGUCAUUUUUGUUGUGAAGUGCAUUAGAAAAAAGCUUUGUCCAUUCUAAAGAACAAAAUUCAAUUUGCCACUUGGCUGUCUAUUAUAUCACACCACCUCAUAAGAUUGCCUGCUGCAGUUGUUGGAGAGAUGUCUAGUUUGCGACCGUACAUGCAGUAUAGAGAACCAGCAAGGGAGCCCUCAUCAGCAUCAUGCAGACAUGCCCUCACUGUGAGCACUCCAAUGAAGGGAACAGUCAGCUACAUGUUGGCAAGUGUCCACACCAGCAACCUUCACCUCUCAGCGACAACCGCUUUCACAGGCUCUUCAUUGGUACAAAUACAGAAGUGUGUGUGUGUGUGUGACCGACCAGUAUCUUUGAGGGGCCAGGAGCUGAUCUACGCUGCUAUGCCCAUCAAUGCUGCUCUGGAAAAGACCUCAACUCCAGCCUCACCUCUUGCCUGCUCACCAGUGGUCGUCGAUGGGGAGGUCAGAAUUAGAAACAUGUAUGGAACCAGUACACGGAGACUUGUAAGGUGAUGUGAUGAAGUCCAGACGGACAGAUGAGCUUGAUACUGAUGUCUCUGAAUGGAGAGAACUGGCACUCGGUAUUAUAAUUUUACAAGACA
Molecule: RNA transcript, 1498 nt
Organism: Salvelinus namaycush (lake trout)
Lineage: Eukaryota; Metazoa; Chordata; Actinopteri; Salmoniformes; Salmonidae
Gene name: nicotinamide riboside kinase 1-like
Exons: 6
Source: RefSeq, a predicted model, not a curated record